This 670-nucleotide ribosomal RNA is filed under the name alpha proteobacterium IMCC14582. Its description in RNAcentral is "bacterial SSU rRNA". It matches the Rfam family "Bacterial small subunit ribosomal RNA", at positions 28 to 743 of the family's 1533-position model. The record is from RNAcentral. Lineage: Bacteria; Pseudomonadati; Pseudomonadota; Alphaproteobacteria.
AACGUACGCUGGCGGCACGCCUAACACAUGCAAGUCGAACGAAGUAGCAAUACUUAGUGGCAGACGGGUGAGUAACAUGUAGGUAUCUGCCCUUUGGCCUGGAAUAACACGAGGAAACUUGUGCUAAUACCGGAUAAGUCUUUACGGAGAAAGCUUUAUGCACCAUUGGAUGAGCCUGCACUUGAUUAGUUUGUUGGUGGGGUAAUGGCCUACCAAGACUGUGAUCAAUAGCUGAUUUGAGAGGAUGAUCAGCCACAUUGGGACUGAGACACGGCCCAAACUCCUACGGGAGGCAGCAGUGGGGAAUCUUGCACAAUGGAGGAAACUCUGAUGCAGCGAUGCCGCGUGAGUGAAGAAGGCCCUUGGGUUGUAAAGCUCUUUCGUCGGGGAAGAAAAUGACUGUACCCGAAUAAGAAGGUCCGGCUAACUUCGUGCCAGCAGCCGCGGUAAUACGAAGGGACCUAGCGUAGUUCGGAAUUACUGGGCUUAAAGAGUUCGUAGGUGGUUGAAAAAGUUAGUGGUGAAAUCCCAGAGCUUAACUCUGGAACUGCCAUCAAAACUUUUCAGCUAGAGUAUGAUAGAGGAAAGCAGAAUUUCUAGUGUAGAGGUGAAAUUCGUAGAUAUUAGAAAGAAUACCAAUUGCGAAGGCAGCUCUCUGGAUCAUUACUGA